This 484-nucleotide ribosomal RNA is filed under the name uncultured bacterium. RNAcentral describes it as "partial 16S ribosomal RNA". It matches the Rfam family "Bacterial small subunit ribosomal RNA", at positions 29 to 507 of the family's 1533-position model. The record is from RNAcentral.
AUUGAACGCUGGCGGCAUGCUUUACACAUGCAAGUCGAACGGCAGCGCGGGCUUCGGCCUGGCGGCGAGUGGCGAACGGGUGAGUAAUACAUCGGAACGUGCCCAGUAGUGGGGGAUAGCUCGGCGAAAGCCGGAUUAAUACCGCAUACGACCUGAGGGUGAAAGCGGGGGAUCUUCGGACCUCGCGCUAUUGGAGCGGCCGAUGGCAGAUUAGCUAGUUGGUGGGGUAAAGGCCUACCAAGGCGACGAUCUGUAGCUGGUCUGAGAGGACGACCAGCCACACUGGGACUGAGACACGGCCCAGACUCCUACGGGAGGCAGCAGUGGGGAAUUUUGGACAAUGGGCUAAAGCCUGAUCCAGCAAUGCCGCGUGUGUGAUGAAGGCCUUCGGGUUGUAAAGCACUUUUGGCGGGAACGAAAGGGACUGUGCCAAUACCACGGUUCGAUGACGGUACCCGCAGAAUAAGCACCGGCUAACUACGUG